GGAGAUUAGCAGUGUUGACAUGGUCUUUUCCAAUCCUGAAUCAGUCUUGAACUGUCUAUGAAUUAACACAAACAUCGAGAAGUCAGCUGGAUUUGAAAGUCAAGUCCCGUAGAAGGACAAGUGUUUUCAUGGUUGAGCAUUAGCACACCCACCAUAACAGAAUAAACAUCAUAAGCAGCUGGGGCCUUUUGUGAUGUCAUCGUUCCCGGAUGUUGAGGGGCCCUAUUGUGACAUGUGCAAAUUUUCAAAGGGGAUGCCAUACUGAUUUUCUAGAAGCUGCCACUUUGAUUUGUGCUUGGACAGGCUUAUCAAUCCAAUUUAUUAGCAUUGUGGUGAAUGCAGUGGAUGACAACAGCAGAAGCCAGCAAGGAAGCAUCCUAUUCUCCAUACAAAAUUGGUUGCAGUUUCACUGGAGCACCAGGCUGGAUCCUGCUUUCGGAAACCUGAACCAGGUAGAGCAGGUGCAGUGGUCCUUGGAAAGUGUGAUACAAGCACAUCACAGGCAAUGUACAGACAAGCUCGAUCUCCAUCUCCCUGGCCGGAAAAUGUAUAGCACAUAUGGUGUCCCAUGGAAGGCUGGGCGGCCUAAACAGUAAACUGAUGUGAUGCAACAAGAAACAGCAAACUGAAAUGUUUUACCACCAUCAGAGGUCACUAUAGCUCCCUCAUGAAGCAAUAAAGGGGUGUACUAGUUCACUCAUCAAGUCCAGAGGGCAUCCCAUCAGAAACAGGGACUUGAGCCACUUCCACCAUAGACUGCAAUGGUUCUUAAUAGAAAGAGACAUUGUAACAAUGGCAGUUGGCAGCCGCCAGCGUGCAGCACAUCCUGCUAUGUACCUCAGAUGAACUGCACACAAGGCUCCUCCUCUCCGCUGCAGGCUCCGGACCCGCUUUCCUGCACUGUCGCAGGCGGCGACAGCUUCAGUUGCACCUUGCAGGAGCCGCACGCGUCCUGUUUCUUUAAGGGUUCGUGCACGUUCCUGAUUCCGCCUUCUCUCUAAUCCUGGCCAGGCACCACCUUUAUAAGGGAGCUUUCCCCUUCCUUCCCCUUCCAGCUUGUAGUUCCUGUGCCUCCUGUACCUCGCUGCCCUGAAGUGUAUGAUUUGGAUUGUCGACCAUGCCUCUGUCUGCUGUUCAGCCUGUUACACCUGCUGCACCUGAGCUAUUUAGCUCUGCUGUUCUAUAAGCUCCAGCUCUGCUUAAUCACUAACUUAGCUCUGCUUCAUCUGACUCUGCUGUUGCGCUUCUUCCAUCCAGCGACAGCUCGCUCCACCUGCCUGUAUCCCCAGUGCUUGCAUUGGGUCGUUCUGGCCUGCUCGGCCAGCUGCCACUUAACCGGGACCACUCUUGUGGUAACAACCUGGUGUCUCCCCUGCAGCUAAGACCAGCUUCUGCAUCUUGGAGCGGGAUAAAGGGUGAAGACCAGGGGAACACUUAGAUUCCGCUCCCAAGUUUGGCACAAAGCCAAACCGGUAAGUGGCACAGCAGGUCCACCCCCGUUGGAGCAUUACAGACAUUUGGUAACCCACUCCCUGUAAAUGACCACUUAGAUAGCUAUGGUGCCCGCUCAUCUCCUGAUUGGGUGCCAGCAGUCAUGGCUUCAUCACAUAAAAUCCAUGUUUAUUGCAUAUGUAUAUAAACAUUCACAGUUUUAGGUGCUCCCUAAAAGCACAUCUUUUUAGCUUAGCUAUUCCCUGAUCUAACUCUUCUCCAUUAACUGUCCCCCACACCAUCCUUCAGGAUCAUUCUUCUGAACCUGAUCCAUUGCCAAAUAUCUACAGCCCAUGCACUCAGAAGCACUAUAGAUAUUGUCUGGUGACUGGCUCAUGCAACCUUAUAUCCACUCCCCUACUGUGUUAAGAUGGCUGGACCAUUUUAAAAAUCAAGCACUUUUUGUGUCACCCCUAUUCUCCCAUAGAUUGUAAGCUCUUGCGAGCAGGGCCCUCAUUCCUCUUGUUAUAACUGAUGACCUGUUUGUUGCUAUGUUAUUUAUGACUCUAUUUGUAGAUUAACCCCCUAAUUCCAAAGAGCUGUGGAAAA
Bufo gargarizans (Asiatic toad) is the source of this 2040-nucleotide long non-coding RNA. RefSeq lists it as uncharacterized. NCBI's taxonomy places the organism in Eukaryota, Metazoa, Chordata, Amphibia, Anura, Bufonidae. The transcript has 3 exons. The record is from RefSeq and is a predicted model, not a curated record.